RNAcentral lists this ribosomal RNA (460 nucleotides) under uncultured bacterium. RNAcentral describes it as "partial 16S ribosomal RNA". It matches the Rfam family "Bacterial small subunit ribosomal RNA", at positions 338 to 795 of the family's 1533-position model. The record is from RNAcentral.
CCUACGGGAGACAGCAGUGAGGAAUAUUGGUCAAUGGACGAGAGCCUGAACCAGCCAAGUCGCGUGAAGGAUGACGGUCCUAUGGGUUGUAAACCUCUUUUAUAGGGGAGUAAAUCACGGUAUCCAUACCCUCCUGUACGUCCCAUACGAAUCCGGCUCGGCUAACUCCGUGCCAGCAGCCGCGGUAAUACGGAGGGUCCGAGCGUUAUCCGGAUUUAUUGGGUUUAAAGGGUGCGUAGGGGGAUUCUUAAGUCAGUUGUGAAAGUUGGCAGCUUAACCGUAGAAGUGCAGUUGAAACUGGCAGUCUUGAGUGAGGUAGAGGUAGGCGGAAUUCGUGGUGUAGCGGUGAAAUGCGUAGAUAUCAAGAAGAACUCCGAUUGCGAAGGCAGCUCACUGGACUGCAACUGACGCUCAUGCACGAAAGUGUGGGUAGCAAACAGGAUUAGAUACCCUUGUAGUC